Molecule: ribosomal RNA, 654 nt
Filed under: bacterium IrT-JG1-59
Lineage: Bacteria
Description: bacterial SSU rRNA
Rfam family: Bacterial small subunit ribosomal RNA
Source: RNAcentral
GGCGGCGUGCCUAACACAUGCAAGUCGAACGGAGUUAAGUUUAACACCGAACACUUAGUUUGGUGGAAAGACAACACAGGAUGAAGUAAGUAGUCGGUGUUGAACUUAAUUUAGUGGCGGACGGGUGAGUAACGCGUGAGUAACCUGCCUUUCAGAGGGGGAUAACGUCUGGAAACGGACGCUAAUACCGCAUAACAUAUCGGGGUCACAUGGCCCUGAUAUCAAAGGAGCAAUCUGCUGAAAGAUGGACUCGCUGUCCGAUUAGCUAGUUGGUGAGAUAAAGGCCCACCAAGGCGACGAUCGGUAGCCGGACUGAGAGGUUGAACGGCCACAUUGGGACUGAGACACGGCCCAGACUCCUACGGGAGGCAGCAGCGGGGGAUAUUGCACAAUGGAGGAAACUCUAAUGCAGCAACGCCGCGUGAGGGAAGACGGUUUUCGGAUUGUAAACCUCUGUCCUUGGUGAAGAUAAUGACGGUAGCCAAGGAGGAAGCUCCGGCUAACUACGUGCCAGCAGCCGCGGUAAUACGUAGGGAGCAAGCGUUGUCCGGAUUUCUGGGUUGUAAAGGGUGCGUAGGCGGCACUGCAAGUCAGGCGUGAAAGCCGGAGGCUUAACCUCCGAACUGCGUUUGAAACUGUGGUGCUUGAGUGAAG